This 352-nucleotide unclassified non-coding RNA is filed under the name soil metagenome. Its description in RNAcentral is "partial contains 5.8S ribosomal RNA, internal transcribed spacer 2, and large subunit ribosomal RNA". The stretch from base 1 to 120 matches the Rfam family "5.8S ribosomal RNA", at positions 35 to 154 of the family's 154-position model. The record is from RNAcentral.
GAUGAAGAACGCAGCGAAAUGCGAUAAGUAAUGUGAAUUGCAGAAUUCAGUGAAUCAUCGAAUCUUUGAACGCACAUUGCGCCCGCCAGUAUUCUGGCGGGCAUGCCUGUUCGAGCGUCAUUACAACCCUCAGGCCCCCGGGCCUGGCGUUGGGGAUCGGCGGAGCCCCCCGUGGGCACACGUCGUCCCCCAAAUACAGUGGCGGUCCCGCCGCAGCUUCCAUCGCGUAGUAGCUAACACCUCGCGACUGGAGAGCGGCGCGGCCACGCCGUAAAACACCCAACUCUUCUGAAGUUGACCUCGAAUCAGGUAGGAAUACCCGCUGAACUUAAGCAUAUCAAUAAGCGGAGGA